Molecule: long non-coding RNA, 1484 nt
Organism: Ornithodoros turicata
Lineage: Eukaryota; Metazoa; Arthropoda; Arachnida; Ixodida; Argasidae
Exons: 5
Source: RefSeq, a predicted model, not a curated record
UUUGAAGGUUUUGAAAAGCAAGUCGGCAUGGCCAGUUCGCGUCGAUGUGUCAGUUGUUGGUGGUUGUCGGAGUUGUGUCAUCCUUUCAUCUCUUCAUACUGUGAAUAUCUGUGAAUCUGUGACGCAAGCUACUGUGCCACGCACAGUAUCUUCAAACUAACCAGUUGAAUGCCGGCCGAACCAAGAGAAGGUACAAGCGGGACAUAGGAACCAAAUCCGAACUACGGUGUAGAUUCGUGUGAAAGAGGAGGAAGCCGAAGUGAUCUUCAGGAUUUCACGCAUUGCGUUGCUACACGUGCUUUCGCACAAUAACAUGCCUCGAACUUCGCGUGAAACUUCACUUUUACCGCACCAAAUAUGUAAGUCAUAUCUGUACUUUUGUCUACAGGUGAAGCAAGGACAUCGUAUGACAAGCCCAGUCACAAUGAAGCAUUAGAGGAGGUGCUGCAGGAACAGAGACAGUGAUCAUGCAUGGAAGGAAAGAAAUAACACGCUCUUCACAUUGGCAUUGAAAAAGUGUACCUUUGAAUCCUAGGAGGUCCCACUGAGUAGCAAAAGUACCUCCGCAAGGUACCUUCGCAAGAGAUGAGUGAUGAGGACGGAACUGUGGUGAUAGAGCGACUGCUGGUGGCAUUCAGAAGGUUAUGUUGAAGACCGAAAGGUAGAAGGUGUUGGAAUCAUUCCAUCUUGCUGUCCUGUCCGAGAGCUGCCUUGGGCUUUCUGCCGCUCUUUCUAGACAGACGUCGGUGCAACUCCCCCUGAAGUCGUCCCAGGACGCGCACUAAACCCCGUGUCUCCUGUUCUUUCCGUGCUGGCAUAACUGCCUAUAGCAGCAGUUGCACUGCGGUGCUAACGUGCAAGCAAGAAAUUGAAAUAGUCAGCUAGCAGCAAAUUGCAAGCGAAGCCGUACAUGCAUCAGGAAUGCAAGAGUGUACAUGCAUCAUGUUCCAAGGGAAAGGAUAGGAUCAGGGACAAGUUCGAGGAGAGUUUUUGCCAUCCACUAGAUCACCUUCGAGUUCAUCAGGGGAACAUUCAUGUUGAAACACGUCGCCGGUGAAUCUACAUAAACAUCUUGUGCUGUGCAAACCAUGUGAAGCCAUCACUUGUGCUUCCUGUUGUUGCUUGUCUCGUAAUGCUUCGGCAGUUGCGUCUGUCAUUUGAAAAUAGUCUUUUGUUUUUAUUUGUCUUGCUAUUGUUAUAGAUUGUGGCUAUUUCUCCCGAACACGUUGUCUCUGACUACUGUUGCCUGAUAAAACGAGUAAUAGUACAGUUCACUGUACUUUUAUUGAAACCCUUUAUGCUAGCAGGAAGUGGGCUCUCAUAACCAAAUAUUUGUGACUCUUAGAUGUGUAGAUAUAAGUACUGAUUGUGGCUACAAGACACGGGCAGUUGUGUUUCGUGUGAGCAAGGAGUGCUUCCCGUGCGGUGUCACCUGUGCAGCAGUCUCUUCGCCAGCGCGGACUACCUGAAGAAGCACCACCGGG